RNAcentral lists this ribosomal RNA (525 nucleotides) under uncultured bacterium. Its description in RNAcentral is "bacterial SSU rRNA". It matches the Rfam family "Bacterial small subunit ribosomal RNA", at positions 8 to 526 of the family's 1533-position model. The record is from RNAcentral.
AGAGUUUGAUCAUGGCUCAGAUUGAACGCUGGCGGCGUGCCUAACACAUGCAAGUCGAGCGGUAACAGGUGUAGCAAUACAUGCUGACGAGCGGCGGACGGGUGAGUAACGCUUGGGAAUCUGCCUGUUAGUGGGGGACAACCCGGGGAAACUCGGGCUAAUACCGCAUACGCACUACGGUGGAAAGCCGGGGACCGCAAGGCCUGGCGCUAACAGAUGAGCCCAAGUCGGAUUAGCUAGUUGGUAGGGUAACGGCCUACCAAGGCGACGAUCCGUAACUGGUCUGAGAGGACGACCAGUCACACCGGAACUGAGACACGGUCCGGACUCCUACGGGAGGCAGCAGUGGGGAAUAUUGGACAAUGGGCGAAAGCCUGAUCCAGCGACGCCGCGUGGGUGAAGAAGGCCUGCGGGUUGUAAAGCCCUUUCGGUGGGGAAGAAAAGCCUCGAGCUAACACCUCGGGGUCUUGACGUAACCCAUAGAAGAAGCACCGGCUAACUCUGUGCCAGCAGCCGCGGUAAUUC